AUCCAGAUGACGAGUCCUACAUAGGACGAAAUGCGCAUCCUGGAU
RNAcentral lists this non-coding RNA (45 nucleotides) under Trichobilharzia regenti. The record is from RNAcentral. Lineage: Eukaryota; Metazoa; Platyhelminthes; Trematoda; Strigeidida; Schistosomatidae.